CGGGGUUAUUUAGAAGCUUGCUUCUAAAUAACCUAGCGGCGGACGGGUGAGUAACACGUAGGCAACCUGCCCACAAGACAGGGAUAACUACCGGAAACGGUAGCUAAUACCCGAUACAUCCUUUUCCUGCAUGGGAGAAGGAGGAAAGGCGGAGCAAUCUGUCACUUGUGGAUGGGCCUGCGGCGCAUUAGCUAGUUGGUGGGGUAAAGGCCUACCAAGGCGACGAUGCGUAGCCGACCUGAGAGGGUGAUCGGCCACACUGGGACUGAGACACGGCCCAGACUCCUACGGGAGGCAGCAGUAGGGAAUCUUCCGCAAUGGGCGAAAGCCUGACGGAGCAACGCCGCGUGAGUGAUGAAGGUUUUCGGAUCGUAAAGCUCUGUUGCCAGGGAAGAACGUCUUGUAGAGUAACUGCUACAAGAGUGACGGUACCUGAGAAGAAAGCCCCGGCUAACUACGUGCCAGCAGCCGCGGUAAUACGUAGGGGGCAAGCGUUGUCCGGAAUUAUUGGGCGUAAAGCGCGCGCAGGCGGCUCUUUAAGUCUGGUGUUUAAUCCCGAGGCUCAACUUCGGGUCGCACUGGAAACUGGGGAGCUUGAGUGCAGAAGAGGAGAGUGGAAUUCCACGUGUAGCGGUGAAAUGCGUAGAG
This 648-nucleotide ribosomal RNA is filed under the name Paenibacillus sp. UFPI CB11-4. RNAcentral describes it as "bacterial SSU rRNA". It matches the Rfam family "Bacterial small subunit ribosomal RNA", at positions 63 to 695 of the family's 1533-position model. The record is from RNAcentral. Lineage: Bacteria; Bacillati; Bacillota; Bacilli; Caryophanales; Paenibacillaceae.